GUCUUUAAGAUUAUUAAUUUAAAGUCCAAUCUGCCCAAUGAAUUUUAAUUUAAAUGGCUGCAGAAUUACUCUGUACAAAGGUAGCAUAAUAAUUUGUUUUUUAAUUAAAAACUUGAAUGAAAGAUUAAAUGAAAUAUAAACUGUUUCAAUUAAAUUCAUAUUAAAUUUUUUAUUUAAGUAAAAAAACUUAAAUAAACUUUAAAGACGAUAAGACCCUAUAGAAUUUAAUUUAUUUAUUUAUAAAAAAAUAAUUUAGUCUAUUUAAAUUAAUAAAUAAAUUUAAUUGGGGUAAUUAAAAAAUUUAACUAAUUUUUUUUUUAAACUACAUUAUAUUUGAAUUUUAUAUCUUAACUAUAAAUUAAAAAAAUUAAUUACCUUAGGGAUAACAGCAUAAUUUUUUUUAAAAGAUCUUAUUAAUAAAAAAGAUUAU
RNAcentral lists this ribosomal RNA (430 nucleotides) under Ischnobracon xanthoflagellaris. Its description in RNAcentral is "partial 16S ribosomal RNA". The record is from RNAcentral. Lineage: Eukaryota; Metazoa; Arthropoda; Insecta; Hymenoptera; Braconidae.